This 244-nucleotide long non-coding RNA is filed under the name Phoenix dactylifera (date palm). RNAcentral's name for it is "long non-coding RNA (PDAC_LNC005011)". Lineage: Eukaryota; Viridiplantae; Streptophyta; Magnoliopsida; Arecales; Arecaceae. The record is from RNAcentral.
AGAAUUCUUUUCCUUCUCAGAUUUCAGCAAAGGACAAUUUCUCCUUAUGUGUCCAAUCUGAUGACACUUGUAGCACUUCCAAGCCUUUUGCUUACCCCGAGACUUAGAACUACCCUUGGACUUCUCUCUAACCCCUUUUCUGAGGCCUCCCUUGCCUCUCAUUAACAGCAAGAACCUCUGAGUUAGAACUUCCCUUGCAAAUCUUCUCUCUUUACUCAUUAGACCGAAGAAUACUAAUCACCUC